RNAcentral lists this ribosomal RNA (489 nucleotides) under uncultured bacterium. RNAcentral describes it as "bacterial SSU rRNA". It matches the Rfam family "Bacterial small subunit ribosomal RNA", at positions 37 to 518 of the family's 1533-position model. The record is from RNAcentral.
UAGCGACAGGCCUAACACAUGCAAGGUCAGGGGCAGCACAAGGAGCAAGUCUGAGGUGGCGACCGGCGGCACGGGUGAGUAACACGUAUGCAACCUGCCUGUAAGCGGGGAAUAACCCGUUGAAAGACGGACUAAUACCGCAUAAUACUAAAUUACUGCAUGGUAAUUUAUUUAAACAUUUAUGGCUUACAGAUGGGCAUGCGCAUGAUUAGCUAGUUGGAGAGGUAACGGCUCCCCAAGGCAACGAUCAUUAGGGGUUCUGAGAGGAAGGUCCCCCACACUGGUACUGAGACACGGACCAGACUCCUACGGGAGGCAGCAGUGAGGAAUAUUGGUCAAUGGACGAGAGUCUGAACCAGCCAAGUCGCGUGCAGGAAGAAUGUCCCUAUGGAUUGUAAACUGCUUUUGCAGGGGAAUAAAGUGCAUCACGUGUGAUGUUUUGUAUGUACUCUGCGAAUAAGGAUCGGCUAACUCCGUGCCAGCCGCGGC